GACGAACGCUGGCGGCGUGCUUAACACAUGCAAGUCGAACGGAAAGGCCCCUUUGGGGGUACUCGAGUGGCGGACGGGUGAAUAACACGUGAGUAACCUGCCCUUGACUUCGGGAUAACUUCAGGUAACUGGGGCUAAUACCGGGUAGGAAUCCUUGCUGCAUGGUGGGGGUGGGAAAGCUUCGGCGGUUUUGGAUGGACUGGCGGCUUAUUAGCUUGUUGGUGGGGUAGUGGCUGACCAAGGCUUUGACGGGUAGCCGGCCUGAGAGGGCGACCGGCCACAUUGGGAGUGAGAGACGGCCCAGACUCACACGGGAGGCAGGCGGGGGGGAGAUUGCACCAUGGGCGGAAGCCUGAUGCAGCAAGGCCGCGUGCGGGAUGACGGACUUCGGGUUGGAAGCCGCCUUCAGCAGGGGCGAAGCUUGUGGUGACGGUACCUGCAGAAGAAGCACCGGCUAACUACGUG
Molecule: ribosomal RNA, 465 nt
Filed under: uncultured bacterium
Lineage: Bacteria
Description: partial 16S ribosomal RNA
Rfam family: Bacterial small subunit ribosomal RNA
Source: RNAcentral